Molecule: small RNA, 832 nt
Filed under: Pongo abelii (Sumatran orangutan)
Lineage: Eukaryota; Metazoa; Chordata; Mammalia; Primates; Hominidae
Description: processed transcript
Source: RNAcentral
CGCGCUAGGCAGAUGAGGGAAGCUGGAGUGAGGUUCAGAGCCCGGAGGAGGAGGACGCCUUUGUCCGCUGGGUCUCCGUCCUAGGGAACCUGGCCGACCAGCUCUAUUACCCCUGUGAGCACGUCGCCUGGGCGGCUGAUGCCCGGGUCCUCCACGUGGACUCUUCCCGGUGGUGGACGCUGAGUACAACCUUGUGGGCCCUCUCUCUGCUCCUGGGGGUUGCCAGGUCCCUGUGGAUGCUGCUGAAACUGAGACAGAGGCUGCGGAGCCCCAUGGCGCCCUUCACCAGCCCGCUGCCCCGGGGCAAGCGGAGGGCCAUGGAGGCGCAGAUGCAGUCGGAGGCGCUGUCACUUCUCAGCAACCUGGCCGACCUGGCCAACGCCGUGCACUGGCUGCCCCGGGGCGUGCUGUGGGCCGGCCGCUUCCCGCCGUGGCUGGUGGGCCUCAUGGGCACCAUCUCCUCGAUCCUCAGCAUGUACCAGGCGGCCCAGGCUGGCGGCCAGGCCGAGGCCACUACCCCCUGACACUACCAGAAGAGCACAGGGACACAGCCAGAGCCCACGGAGGGCCCUUCCCGCAAAGCAGAAGCCACCAGGGCAGGGGCCGGGGCUCUCAUGGAGCUGCCUGUGGUGAAAUCCGUGGGCAGGCUGGGUGGAGGGACUGAUGCGAGGUCCCCCAGGCCUCAGCCUGGAGCUCCCGAGCCGUGACAGUUUUCAGGAGCCAUGGAGGGCUUCAGCAGCACCUCCUGCCUGCCAGCUGGCGUCUUGUAUCCAAAUCAAGAUGAGGAAGAGGGAGCCCAUCGUGCCUUGAGAAAGCUGCAACGGGAAUCAAU